GACCCAAUAUGCGCUCGAGGCCUCGGUCGAGGGCAUGUCUGUCUAGGCAUCGCAUCCCAUUCGAAUGUGUUGUCAGCUGAAAUACCUCAAGCAAUGUUUCAUGGUGUGCAUUGGCGGGCGGUGAUCUUGUCCCCUUAGAUGGGCAGUCAACGUUAGCUGAUGUGGGCAUUGUGUGGCAUCGCUCGAACUUGCUUUUCUCUCUCUUGUCCUCCCAUGAGGUAUGGCAAAUUUAGCUCCAACUUUGUGACCUCAUCUCAGGCGAGAACACCCACUGAGUUUAA
Molecule: unclassified non-coding RNA, 281 nt
Filed under: Camptobasidium sp.
Lineage: Eukaryota; Fungi; Basidiomycota; Microbotryomycetes; Kriegeriales; Camptobasidiaceae
Description: partial contains 5.8S ribosomal RNA, internal transcribed spacer 2, and large subunit ribosomal RNA
Source: RNAcentral